Molecule: ribosomal RNA, 119 nt
Filed under: Scophthalmus maximus (turbot)
Lineage: Eukaryota; Metazoa; Chordata; Actinopteri; Pleuronectiformes; Scophthalmidae
Source: RNAcentral
GCUUACGGCCACACCGCCUGGUUCACGCCCGAUCUCGUUUGAUCUCGGAAGCUAAGAUAGGGUGGGCCAGGUUAGUACUUGGAUGGGAGACCGCCUGGGAAUACCAGGUGCUGUAAUUU